AUUUAUUAUUAAGUGCCAAUAUAUUAUUAGAGAAUCUAUUGCUCUAUAUUAGAGAAAGGGAGUGUGUUGGAUUUGUAGAUACCAAUUAAAGCACUUCUAUUGGGUCCACUAGAUUGCAACAAACUUUUUCAUUGGACUUGGUCCACCACGUCGGUCGUGGACCGACUAAUUGUUUGCCUUACAAGACUGCUGAUGUGCGGGCAGAUUCAUAUGGCAUUUGGAUUGUAUGCAUAAAUUACCCAACUAGAAGCGUCUGUAUUAUGUACACCAGUGCAUCAAACAAACGUAUAAGUGCAGCAUUCUGGAACAACUACGAUAAUACACUCUUAUUUUAAUUUUCACCAAUUUAAGAAGAUGAUCUAAGAACAAUUAAUGGUUACUGUACAGUACGGGACAAACAUGUGAAAGUUGUAUUAUUUUUUGUUGGACACAGUCAGACCACGUUUUUAGGAUGUAAUCAGUCUCUAUUACCGUAAGUUCUAAGAUCGUUGAAUCAGAUAAAACCAAGCGUUAAGAUUCACCAGCUACACAAAAGAAUCUUUGUAAUAUUUAGAUGGUGGACCAGGUCUAGGCAACAAUCUCUCAUAGUCAUUUUGUACCUUUCCUUUAUUGGGGAGGUUGCAACUGAGUGCUAAGGUACAAUUUUGUGUCCCACUAUGGUAUAAGCUAUAUUAGUUGGGAGAUUAUUAUGUAACUUUAAAAAUUCAUGAUACCAUUUGCCUAGUUAAUUUGGAGAGUUAAAUAAUAAUAAUAAUAAUAAAAAUAGUGUUAAGAAAUACAUAAAUGUCUCACAUGUAUUUGGUUGGUCAAAUAGUGUAUGAAAUAAAUUGUUCACAUGUGCACUAAAUAGGUGAAAUGAAGUGGAUUUAUAUUAUAUUCUUGUGUUUUCUAAUUUUUUGCAUUAAAGAAAUCUUAAAUAAUCCCUAACAAGUUUUUAAUAACAUAGGGACCUUUAGUUUAUUCCAUUAAUUUCCUUUUUACCAAUUGCUAGCUUUUUUAAUCCUUUCAUAUUUAUUCUCAACUUAUCAAACUUGUCAAAUAUAAUCUUUAAGUAUUAAAUUUGUAUUAAGGCUUAUUAAUAAAACAAAUUUUGACAUUUAGGAUUUCUAAGGGUCCUUCCUUUUUCUUAGGGAUGUCAAUGGAUAUGAAUACCCGAAAUUUUAUCAUAACCCGAACCCGAAUGAAACGGAUAUAUCCGGUGGAUAUGGAUAUGGAUUCGGAUACGGAUAUCAAAAAUAGAAAUCGGACGGAUAUGGAUUCGGAUAUGGAUUUUGAUUGGACCCAAUCCCUUGGUACUAUUGAGUUUUCGGCCGUUGGAUGAAAGGAUUUGCGGUUAGGAUGAUAGUGGUCCCCGGUUAAAUUGAUAGUGGUCCCCUAGGGUUGAGUGGGUGGUUGGUUUAAUAGUAUAAUCUAACGGGUGGAAAUGAUCAAAGGGUAGAUCUAACGGUAGAAAACUCAAUAGUACCAAGGGCUUGGUACUAUCAAUAGUAUAGUAGCUAGACUCUCUCUCUCUCUCUCUCUCUCUCUCUAUAUAUAUAUAUAUAUAUAUAUAUAUAUAUAAAUUUGAUGUUAUAUUUGAAUUUGUAUUUUAAAAAUUUAGAUUUAAUAUAAUAUAUUUUGAAAUAUUGAAAAGAGAAAUAAUUGUUUCGGGUUCAAAUUUUCGGGUUCUGGUUCGGGUUCGGGUUUCGGAUUUUUGGUCGAAUUCUGGUUUGGAUAUAAAUUUUUAAAAUCUGUCGGGUUCGAUUCAGGUUCAGUUUUGAAAAACUCCCUCCGAAUCCGACCCAUCGACAUGUCUACAAGCCGGGCCACUUUUUCCGGGUUCGGGUUUGGAUAUGAAUUUUUAAAAUCCGUCGGAUUUGGAUUUUGGAUAUGGUGUCGGGUUCAGGUUCGGAUUUUUAAAAAUUCACCCUAAAUCCGACCCGUUGACGUCUCUAUUUUAUCUCCCUUGCAUUAUAAACCCAUUACAAAAAUAAAUGUACUUUUUUUAGACUAUUUUUCGAGUGAAAAUUUUCUUAGCAAUGAGCGAUUUCGCUGUUCCUCUAAGGCAUGCCAAAUCAGUGAUAUUUAGUCGUCCAUUCAACAAUUCACAUUAGUCCUACUUCCAAUGGAUAGUGAAAUACUCGUGACCCCUCCCCAAUCGAGAAAAAUAAAAAUCUAGCACAUAGUGUUGUGAAAAAUCUAGCACAUACUCGUGCUUUGAUUUGAUUUUUUUUUUUUUUUUUUUCGCCUUUCGCCUUUCGCUAUCUCGGAGGCCUAAGCUGCUUCCAACUUGUACGCUCAGUUCAUUUUACCUAAUGAAUGAAGCAGAUAGCUUGCUACCUAUUUCUCAAAAAAAGAAAAAUUUGCGCCCACUAUUUACUAAACGGAAUAUGAAAAUAGAAAACAAAUAAUGCAGCAUAAAAAAAAAACAUACCUUCCUCGAUCUUAAGUACACAUGGCUUUAGCGAAACGAUUUCCACGCCGUCGUUUAACCGGUGCCCGCGAGCCUAAAUCGUAAAAAUUAAUCCCCACAAUUAGAAAAUUAAAAGCCCAAAAAACACAAAUCCAAAUCUAAAAAACCAAAUUUAUUUUCAUUUUUUCUCAUGAAAAAAAAAAGAAAAUUAAAAAAAGACCCAAAAAAAUUGUAAUUGAGAGUACCACAUGUGAGAGUGAGUAAUUGGUGAGGUGACAUGUUUCCACAUGAGAGCCCAAUAGCUUCUUCACAUCUAGUAUUUUAUCAGUGGAUAUUCCCUAAAUAACAAGAGAAUAAAUUAGAAUAAUUAAUUAGAAUAAAUAAAUAAAUAAAUAAACAAGAAAGCUGUUCUUGGCAACUUAUGAUUGUAAUUUAUCCAAGUUCCAUUGAAUAAUUUAAAAAAAAAAAACCAAUUCAUAUAAGUUUCCUUUCCCUUUUUUUCUUCUUUUUUUUUUUGGUAAAUUUUCAAUAAGGGAUGAGUUGAGAAAUACAUAUAUACCUUGAGUGUUACUUGGGAUUCAUAGGGAGUGACCACUGUGAUAUCAAUGACACUAGGAACAACUGUAAAGAGAACAAUGACAAAAAAAAAAGAAAAAAAAGAAAAAAAAAAAGGAAAAAGAGGAGAAUAAGUUUUGGGAAUAACAAUUAAUCAUCAUACACACAAAAAACACAUGACUCAACUAGAUUAGAAAAUCAAAGGAGGAAGCAAAAAAAAAAAAGUGAAUAAGAUUUUAAUACUAAUACAUAAAUACAUAUAUAUAUUUAUAUAUAUAUAUACACAUAGUUCAUGUGUGUGUAUAUAUAUGGGACAUGCUUAAUAAAUUUCAUACAUAAUAAACUAAAAGUGCAUGGCUAAUGAAUCACAAGUACGUUGAGCUCCUGUUCUUCAACUCUCUCUCUCUCUCUCUNGGGGAGGUGUUGUGGGCUUUAAACACACUUCAUGGAUUUCUAUUCAAUCCUAGCCUCUCAUUCUUGGUCUCUCCCUUCUCCCUCUUCUUCUUCUUUCUCUCUCCUCUCUCUCUCUCUCUCUCUUAAAUUUUUUCUUUUCUUUCUUAAGGGAGAGGGUGAGGGUUUGAGGGGCUUUAUAAAUUUGGGACAAAAAUAUAUUUUUUUUCUAACUUUCAAAAAUUUAUAUUUUUUUUCUUUAAAAUUUUAUGUUGAUAAAUUUAGGCCUCCUCGUUUUUUUAUAAUUUAUAUCAAAAAUACCCUUGAAACAGACAAAAAUAUAUUAAAGUUUCUUUUUUUUUUCUUGUAGAAUAAGUAAGGGCUAUUUGGAUGUUUCACCCUUUUCCAGUAAUACUGUAAUCUUUUGAAAAUAUUUCUGAAAAUUUAAAAGAACAAAAUAUAGAUUUUUAAAAGUCGGCAGAAAAAAGUGAAAAGGCUCUGUAUUUUAGCCCCAAAUUAUAUACAUAACUUUUUAUAAAAAUAGUAUAUAAGUGAUGUCUGAUAUCAUUUAUCUAACUAGUACUUUCUAUGUAGACUACCUGAAAUAAUUUUUUUAUGGUAAAUAUUUAUAGAACUUAACUGAAGUAUAUAGUAUUUUGAUUCAACUAUCUAAUUUUAUAAAAUUCUGAUUUUAGUAUCUAAUUUUUUAAUUUGUUUGAUUUAAUUCAUCUGAUGACUCUAUCUAUACAUAAUUCAAGCUAAUUGCUUACUUUAUUAAAUUUUAUACAGUAAAAUUAAAUGACACAUACAAAUUUUAAAAUUAAAUAAUAAUUAAUUGGCUCAAAUCAAAUAAAUUAAAAGAUUCAAUAGCAAGAUCAAAAUUUUAAACUUUUUUUACAUUUUUAACUUUUUUUCUGUAACGGCAAAAAAUAGAACAAAAAAGAUUAUUAUAAUAAUUUCACUAAAUAAAUUGGGCUUCAUCGAAAGGUAUUAUACACAGCUCCUUUUAUCUAAGGCUAAAUUACAGAAAAUUCCCCUGUAAUAAUCCGCUUUUUCACUUUUUCCCCUGACAUUUAAAAACCUACACUUUGCCCCCUUGUAAAAUGAAAAAUGUGUACUUCACCCCUACCGUUAGGGUUCCGUUAGGGGUUCUGUUAAACAAUAUUUUUUUAUACCGAAAAUACCCCUCUGCCUCUUCUCAGAUGCUUCGCUCCCUCCGGCUCGCCGCUUCGCCGCCUCGCCGCCUCGCCGUCCUCCACUGCUUCGUGCUCGCCCACAUCCCUUUCGUUCUCCUCCGCCACCUCGCUUUCGCCCUCGUUGUCCCUGCCUACCUCUCCAUCAACACCCAUUUUGGUAUCCUCCCUACUGUCGCCGAAAUCGAUGGGCGGCGACGGUGUAGGAGGAGAAGGGGAGCAGGUGGAGAAGAAAUUGGAGAGGAAUCGUGGCCGAUUGAGGUGGAAAUAGCGGCGGAUCGAAGGGGCGGCUGAGGAAGCUCAGGAAGAAGACAACAAUGGCGAGGGGCAAAAUGGUCAUUUUACACACCGUGACCCCCUGUGAAUAUUUUUUAUUUUACAAGAGGGCAAAGUGUAGGUUUUUAAAUGUCAGGGGAGGAAAGUGAAAAAGCGGGUUAUUAUAGGGGGGUUUUCUGUAAUUUAGCCUUUAUCUAAACAUAUUUUGUUUUUGUUCGAAAUUUAUUUUUAGAAAAUUUCGUGAUUAAAAUAUUAAUUCAACGGCUAAAAUUAAAAGUAUUAAAUAAUUAAAAAAAAAAAAAGCAUCAACAAUUUCCUUAUAAUAACUUCUAUAGGGAAGUCCGCAUAGAAAUUUUGUCGUGCACAGCAGGCGUGAGGACAACCGUUCGUAAACGAGAAAUUAUUGCCUGCUCCGGGUGUAUGCGGACGGUCCACACAUUGAGUUUUAAUUUUGGUGCAAUUGCUCGUAUAUCCCUGAAAAGUUUCAUAUUUUCUUAUUUACUCCCCUUAAAAUGCUAAUAUAAAAAAAAAAACUCUUCUAACGUUUCAAGUUUUUUCAAAUAUACCCCUCUAGAGUUAGAUUUUAGGAAUAACCGUAAUUUCUGUAAAAUUAUUGUUUUACCCUUUCAAAUAUACCCUUCUACCAUCACCAAUUUUUUUUUAUUUGUAUUUAAGUUAGGAUAUUUUAUCUUUUUAACUUUUCAAAUAUACCUUUUUGUAAUCACCAACUUUUUCUUAUUUGCUCUUAAGUUAGGAACAAAAGAGAUAUUUUGACUUCUUUUUAACUCUGAUAGAAAUUUUAACUCGAAUUUAACCCUAAAUGACUUAACGGAUACAAACAACAGAGUUAUUUUGAAUAACAGAGAAAUAUACGAGGAGUAUAUUUGAAAUUAAAAGAUAGGAAUAUAUAAGAUAUUUCAGAAGUUUUGAAAGGUGUAAGUAAUUAUCCCUUUAAUUUUUGUAGAGACUUAAAUAUAAUCGGCACUAUCUAAAAAGUCUACAUAAAAAUACUAUAAAAUUUAAAACUUUAUUAUCUAGGCAACUGAUUAAUUUGAAAAAAUAACUAUAGAAAAGAAUUAUCGUUUAUUUUGUGAGAAAUUAGCUUUUAAAAUUUAUGAUAAUUUAUCAUUAGGGGAGAGGCUUUUAUAAGUUAAAGUUAAUUAAACUUUUGGAUCUUAGUGUAUGAUUGUUUUUUAAAUUUAUAACUUUUCAUAUAUAAACUUAUUUUUAAUAAUUCAAGUUUCAUAUACAGAUAGGGAUCGACCCGAAACUAUAGUAAAUUAUUUAGCUGUACUAUAUAAUUUAUAUAUAAAAUAAAAUAGUAACGUAAUAGUAAAGAAGCUGGGUUAAAUACUAUAGUUUUAAAUUUUAAGAAAUUAAAGUGCAAAAGUAGAUUUUUUUUUUUUUAUGCGAGAGUUUUCUGUAUUUAAGCCUAAAAAUAUAUAUAGUCGAGGGACCUGUAUCAAAAUAGCACAUAGUUGAGGGGGGGCUCCACACAUGUUUACUCUAAAUAAUUGAUGCAUUUUGUAUCUUAGUUACUUAGUUUUCACACAAUACAUGGUUAAGGAGAAAGAAACAAAAAGAAAAAAAAAAAUUUCUCUUUUGAAUGAGUUGUUGUUGUUUGGAGGGCCCUGAUGCAUGCCACUUGUCCCCACCAUGUCAUCACAGCCGCACAGUAUGUUGUACUAAAAACUUUCUAAAAGAAAAGGCCAAAUUAUGAAGGAAAAAAAAUAUAUUAUAUAAUCACUUUAGCCCUUGUUUCAAUUAUUUUAUUACAUAAAAAAUUAUAUUUCUUUUCGCGUACGCUUUAUUAUUGUAUUAAAUAUAUGUUAAUUAAUUAUUUAAUAAUAGAACUGAUGUGGUAUAUCGAGCCAAUUUGGUGAAAAUUUACAUUUUGAUGCAACGAUUUUAUUUUUCCAAAUUUUGAGCGUAUUUAUUACUGCGAUGGAGCAUGUGAUAAAAUUUGAUAUAAUUGAAAGAAUGGUUAUAUGUUUUUAAAAAAUAAAAUAAAAUAUGCACAUGAUCAUCAAAUGAGAAGUUCAAAAUGUCGAAAAUAAAAUAUCGGCUCAACUCUCCUAUAUAUUUUUUUCGUACUUGAAAUGAACCUUAUUUCUCUCUUUAAUUCUUUACUUGAAUCGAACCAGGUCAACCUUUUUUUUUAGCUUGAACCGAAUCAGAUCACACCUCUACAUUAAGCCGAACUGUUCUUCUUCUUCUUCCUCCAGUUUUCUUCAUCGGCAAGAUAAAUCUCACCUUUUAUCGCCGUUUCUUUUAUUAUCGUUUUCUCUUUCUUUCUAGUCGUUUUUUUUUUUUUCUCUAAUUAUCUAUCCGUCGCAUCGCAUGGGUUACUAUACUAGUUCAUACGAAUUUUCUCUAGGGCUAAAUAUUUGUCAAUAUCAAAGUAAGAUUGGCACCCCCACAAACAAAGAAAAAAAGAGAAAGAAAAAAAGGAAGAGAAAUAUGAUUAGGAAACAACUGUAAUGUGUAAAAGGUUGGAGAUCAUGUGAAACUAUUCUCUUAACAAAGAAAAAAAAAAUUCAGAAUUUUGAUGUAGCCCAAAUUUUUGAAAAGUGCUUUUAGUGUGUGUAAUGUUCUCAGCCUUGUGUGUGAGUCCUUUGUACAACUUUUCUUUGAAGUGCUUUUACACCUUGUGUGUAAAUGCAUUGUUGUUCUUGAGCUUUGUGUAUCCAUUUUGUACUUAUUACAUCUUAAUAAAGAUAGUGAGAAACAAACACCUAUGUAUGCAUUCAUAAAUUGUGUGCUUUUAAUUAUUCAAAAUUGGAACUCUAAUUUGAAAUUUUUACUUCAACUAUCGUAAAAUCUAAGAAGUAAGAUGUUGUCGCCAGAAUUUUAGUCGAUUCAAACACAGAAUCCUAAAAUUACCCAAUUACAUGUUGGAUGUGGGUAACACAUGAGUAUCGUACUGAAUUUACGGGUUUAAGAUCAACUCUUGAUACAAUGAUAACGACAAAUUUGAUCUAGGAGAAGCUUCAAUUACCAUUCCUGUGGUUUCACAUUUUCUCACUUUAGUACCCUGUGGUUUAAAGUGUAUCACUUUCGUACCAUGUAGUUGUAUUUUUCUCUUUUUGUUAUCCUUCCACUAUUUUUUUUCGUUAAAUUAGUGACAAAGUUAAAAUUAAAGAAUAUUAAAAUGAAUAUUCGAUAAACUGUAGGUGGGGUAUCUGAAGUUUUGUAUAUAUGAUUUAAUGAAAAGUUAACAGAGGGGCUGACGAAAAAAGAAAAAUAAAACCACUAGGUAUUAAAUUGAUACACUUUAAACCACAAAGUACUAAAAUGAGAAAGUGCGAAACCAAGCGAUGGUAUUUAAAGUUUACCCUUUAAUCUAUUAACCCAGUAGCUAAAAAUGAAGUUGAUGAGUCCAAAUUGGACCUUAUGUGAUCCAAUAUUGCCACUAGUUUAUAAUUCCUAAUGGAAUUUUUUUUUUUUUAAAAAAAAGAGACUUAAGAAGUGCAAAUUUCCUUUUUCUUGUUUGUACAUUUGACUUGGCACUAAUUCCAUUCUUUCAUGAACUAAGCAAAGAAAAAAGAAGUGAGAACUAAAACUACUUCUUGAAUAAGCUCCCCACUAAGCNACAUGAAAUAAAUGUUUGCAAUAACUUGUUCUCAUUAAGUUACUAGUCAAUUUCCACACUUAAAUGUACAAUUCACUGUAAUCUUCCUUUUUCUACUAAUAAUUUGGGCCAUGCCUCCAUGUAGUCAGUAAAACAAAAUUGGAGUCAAUUUCCACAUUCAAUAAUUCUCUAAUUAAUGAAUGUGAAAUAACUGUUUUUCUUCAAAAUCUUAAAUCAUUCGAGCAUCGACUCAGAUACCAAAUUAAAUUAUAUAAAAUAGCUGUUUAUUUCAAAAAGUUUAAACUAUAUAAAAAAAAUAGUGUUAUUAAUAUUUUAUGUUCAACAACAAUAACUUAUAAUAUUAUCCUACGUAGUCAAUCAAACUACUAAUUAUUCGCUAAUUUUUGGGGCUAAGACACUAGAAUAAUAACUCCUCUUUGAAGGAAUAAAACUAAAUUAAGAGUCAAUAGUUUGUUGUUUAAGAUAGGAUAACCGGAUCAGGCACUGACCCGUCAUACAUCUCACACGCACCGAUUCUCGGUUUAAAUACAAAUUAAUAAUCGCGAAAGAAUAUGAUAGAAUUGUAGUUGAUGUUGAAGAUGGUAAAGGUCCAAUUAGUGCUUGAGCUUAGAGAUGUCAACAGGUCGGAUUCGGGGCGAAUUUUCAAAAAUCCGAACCCGAACUCAAACCCGGCGGAUUUUAAAAAUCUAUAUCCAAAUCUGAACCCAACCAAAAACCUGAAACCCGAACCCGAACCCGAACAUGAAAAUUUGAACUCGAAACAAUUAAUUUUUUUUCAAUAUUUCAAAAUAUAUUAUAUUAAAUCUAAAUUUUUAAAAUACAAAUUCAAAUAUAACAUCAAAAUUUUUAUGUAUAUAUUAUAUAUAAUACAAAAUAAAUUCGGAUUCGGGUCGGGUUCAGGUUCGGGUCGGGUAUAGUCAAAAUCCAUAUCCGAAUCCAUAUCCGUCGGGUUUCUAUUUUUGAUAUCCAUAUCCAUUUAGCAUUGGAUAUAUCCGUUUUAUUCGGGUUCGGGUUCGGAUAAAAUUUCGGAUAUUCAUAUCCAUUGACAUCCCUACUUGGGCUAACUACUUGUACAAGAUUUUCAUAAUUUAAAAUGUUUUCUUUUGUUUAUGUAUGUUUGAUGUACUUUGAAAUUGAAUUCUUGAUUGGAAAAUACUUGGGCUUUUUGAACUUUUUGAUUUUUAAUAUUAAAUUGUAGAGUUUGAAAUUAUUUUGUGAACUUUUUGAGAAAAAAAAAAAAUCCACUUAGUUUUGGAUUUGUGAACUUUGAUCCAUCAUUUUUUUGCCUUUUGGCCCAUUAGAAUGAGCCAGGCUAAUUUUUUGAACCCAAAUUGUUUUGGGCUCUCUCACCCCCCGGCGUUAUUCCCUGCGUUAACUCUCUGUUAAAAUAUAUAAACAAAAAACUUCAGAUACCCUCAUAUUCACUUUAGCAUUCUGUAUUUUACGAAAAUUUUAUUUAAACUUCAGAUACCCUCAUAUUCACUUUAGUGUUCUGUGGUUUACGAAAAUUUUAUUUUAGUACUCUGUAGUUUUAACUUUCUCAUUGAUUUAACGAAAAAAUGAAACCACUGGGUACUUUUGUGCACUAUAUGGUGCUCCGUAAAAAUAGGCUAAACACCCACUAUAUGUACACAGUUACGAAGGGUCUAAAAAUGAGUUGUAGUCCAUAUAUUUUAGGAUAAAUUUUAGGGAUAAUUGUAUAUAUACUCCUCUUACGUUUGAAAAUAUCCGAUUUACCCUUACUUUUUUUAAAAAAAAAAAUACCCCUCAUAUGCUCCACCGUUAUUGCAGAAUACCCCCGCAGUUAUCUCCUGUUAAGUUAACUUGGAUUAAACGUGAGUUAAAUAUCUACCACAGUUAAAAAAAAAUUAAAAUACUAAUUUUGUCCUUAACUUAAGGGCAAAUAAGAAAGGUUGGUGACGGUAGAGGGGUAUAUUGAAAAAGACCAAAAUGCAAAAUACUUUUUGUGCUCCUGACUUUAAAGACAAAUAAAAAAAACAGUGAUGGUGGAAGAAUAUAUUUGAAAGGGCAAAAUAGUAAUUUUACAGAGAUAAUAGAGUUACUUAACAGAUUUUAACUCUAAAAGGUAUAUUAGAAAUAGGUUGAAACAUAGGAGGAGUAUUUUCAAUAUUAGCUUUCUAAGAGGGAUGAAUCGAAAAGUCAGAAACUUUUCAAAGGUAUAUAAGCAAUUGUCCCUAAAUUUUAAAUACCAUCGUGAAAAAAUAUUUUUUUUUUUUCCCCAGUUUUCCAGAUAAAGAAAAACUUUUUUUUUCAUAAUAUAAAAAGGACUUUUUCGCGGAAACUAUCUUUCUAAAAAUCAAACAGUGGAAAAAUCAUUUUUCAGCCAAAAAAAAUUAUUUCCUGAUAUAUUUCUCGAAAAACCAAACACUCCCAUGAGUGGGACAAAAUGCAGGUUCAAAGAAUAAAAGACUAUCAUUAACUUAGUGACAACUUGCAGACUUUAGUCAGGUUAAGCUAAAUUAAAAAUCACUAGAAGACAAAUUCAUGCCACCAAAUUUGAGGAACAAGUGGUUAUCAAUCAAGAUGCUUUUUUAUGUACAGAAAAUUUCUGCGCACCGCUGACUCCACCAAUAAAUAAAUCACUACAAUUGAUGAAGAUGAGCCAUGAAUUCACAAACUCAAAAUCUAUCACUCUACUUUCAAUUUACACAAAACAGAAACCUAGUACAACUAUAUCACUCCUCAAAAGAAUGUACAUUUUUCCCUUUCUUACUCACGCUGCGUGAUUUCACCGUCCAGAAUUAUUGAUCUUCUAAAUUUUUCUGUACAAAACUCUGUGAACGAGACACCUCUCCUCGCCGAGCAACCAUUAUGAUUUCAGCCUAGCUCAAAUCCCUAGCCCAACUUCGUUAUUCGCUACCGUGAAAUGAUCUACUUCAUUUUGCUGCACGGACAGAGUUAUUCCUGUACUUCUGUCCUAACUUAAAUCGCACUCUUUUCGAACACAAAUAAGUCUAUUGUUCGUAUUGAUUUAAAAUUUAAAUUCGGACAAAAAUUGAUACUGUCGCACCGUAGAAAGGGUCUCACAUAAUUUUGUGUUGGCUAAGAACCACACUGCCACGUGGCUGUGUCGUGCCGUGCCGUGUCGAUGCGUGUGCUCAGCUACCACGGGGUGGAGCCCCAGAGCACCUCGGCGAGGACGGUGACCUCCUCGGCCGGUGAGAUCACCGCCUCCUUCACCCUCCUCACAAUCUCCUGCUUCGUCAACCUCUUCUCCCUCUCCCUCAUCCCCUCCCCGACCUCGACCUCCACCGCGAACCUCGCCACCGCGCUCGCGAAUGGCGUCCUCGCCGAGGCGGAGGGAUCGGGGCCGUCCAUCUCGAUCAGCGCGCCGCCGUGGUCGGAGCGCUGGAGGCACACGAGCCGCUUGAUCAGCCCCUCGGCGAUCAUGGCGUCGACGGCCUCCUUGCGGCCGUAGUGUCCGAGAACGAGGGAGAGUUCUAGGGCGAGGGAGCGUACCUCGAGGUCGGGGGCGGCGAGGAGGGCGACGAGGCGGGGGAGGGCGCCGCGGGCGAGGAGCUCGUCGAUGAGGGGGCUCCGGAUAGCGGCGACGAGGCCGGAGAGGGCGCGGAGCGCGGCGGGGGAGGCGGCGGAGACGAGGGCGCCCACGGCGGGGCCCAUGAGCACGGGGCCGACGAACACGUCGCGGUUGAAGCGCACCAGCGCGAGCGCGGCCGCGGCGCAGCGGUCGCGGACGCGGGGCGGGGCGGCGCGCGGGUCGCGCCUCGAGCGCGCGGAGGAGGGGCUCGCGCUCCUCGGACCCGGACCGGAGCGCGGCGACGAGGCGGUCGACGGUCUCGCGGUCGAUCCACGCCCGGAUCUCCGCCGCCACGGACGCCGCCACGCGCGCGACGGCCUCGUCGCGGCCCGAUCUAAGGCGGAGGAGGGAUCGGACGAUUGAACCCCCGCCGCCGGAGUCGGCGGAGUCGGAGAGGGAGCGGAGGCGGGAGAGGAGGAGGGAGAGGGGGGAGAGGAGGGGGUCGGGGGGGAGGAGGGAGCGGAGCUCGAGGAGGGCGUUAAUGGCGGGGGAGGAGGAGGCAGGGGAGGGGGAGGAGGAGAGGGAGUGCGCGGCGCUCUCGAGGGCCUCCAAAGCGCGCAGCACCUCCGUCCUCGGGCGCUCCACCAUGGGAGCCAAAUUGGCCGGGUAUGUCCCAACUACAACUCUCUCUCUCUCUCUCCCUCUCUCUAUAUACACAAUUUUUUUUUUUUUUUUUUUUUUUUAAACUAAUGGUCCUCCGUGAGGAAGGAGAAAGACGAAGAGGAGGAGGGGCCCCCGCCGAGCACGACGGACGGGGCAGGGGUUUAUGUCGUGGGAUAAAAUUUUAGUAGGAAGCUUCUGGCUAUCGGGGCGGAUUCGGCGGCGGGAUGGUUUUUCAUCUUUCGUUUUAUUUUUUAAUUAGGGCUGGAUGGAUUGGGAACAAAAUAUUUUUAACUUCAUUUUUUUCUUUCAUUUACCACCCCAUUUCCGACAGAUUUUUGAGGAAUUUUGCACGAAUCAGGACGGAUUUAAGAAAGAAAAAAGUCUUUCACCUCCCGCUUUAUUUACUUAGCGGAACGGACCGAAUUCGAAACAUAUUAUAUUUUUCUUUAUGUGUUGGUCUCACAUGCCGUCCCAUUCGAAACGGAUUGGAGUGGGAGUUUCACCAAUCCGGAUCUAUUUGCAUCCUUAUUUGAGAAUUCUCUAAUUCACUAUCAUUUUAAAUUUUUAUCUCUAUCUAAAAAAUAUUUAGAUAUUUUUAUAUGUUAAAAUCAAUAAAUAUUUUUUUAAAAAAAAUUAUAACCGUCGGAUAAAAAUAAAAUUGAUACAUGACAGCAAAGCGAGACUACUCAAUGAGACUUCGAGCCUGUUUGGCCUAACUUCUGAAAAAGUGAUUUCUGAAAAAGUGAUUUUGAUUUAGAGAAGUGAUUUUGGUUAAAAGCUAUAGAGUGUUUGGCAGAGUUUAUAUAAAAGUGAUUUUUCUAAAGUGAUUUUAAAAAGUUGUUUGGUAAAUUUUUUUUGAUGUUUACAUAUCUUAAAAUUGAGAGAGUUUAGAACCGGCUCUGAUACAGUAUUAUCGAAAAUGUCGAUUUAAUAGAAAAUUAACCUAGGACUAAUCUUACUAUACAAGACAUUUCACUCUUUGGUCAAGCAUUUAGAAAGGAUCUUCUAUGCAUAAAACCUUAGCAAUAUUAAUUUUCUUCAGAUCUAUAAAAAAAAAGUUAAGUGGUAACAAUAAUAUAUAAUAAUAUUUAAAAUUUUUUUUUGUUUUUAGAUUCAUUUAGAGCCUAUUUGUUUGCAUAGAAGUGGGGUGAAAGUAGGGAGGGAGAAGUGAUUUUCGAUGACAACAGAUCGCUUUCUUUGGUUCGCCGUAAAAAAUAAUAUUUAAACUUUUUUUGUUUUUUUAAGAUUCAUUUAGUGGAAUUCUGAGGGGAGAGAGGGGUUUGUUGGCAGCCACAGCAGGAGAGUCUGAAUGGCAGACAGUGCUGAUGAAAUGGUAGAUGGGCUGUGGGCCCCAGCAAGGCUGACAAGGAUUUAUUAGAGUCUUUAUUAGGUAGACAAAGUUUUCAUACUUUAGUAAUUAAGUCCUAACAAUGCUAAAUAUUUUGUUCUGAAGAAAAUUGAGAAGAUGUUAGUAAAAUUAAUUACAAAAAAGUUAAUGAUUUUUAAGGUUAAAGUCCAUAGGAGAUUCAUUAAAUAAUGAGCCUGAUUCUAUCUUUAUAUAGUUUUGGUGAAUAAAAUAAGCAUAUUCCUACCCAAAGAAAAAAGGAAAAGCAAAAAUAGAGAAUAUACAGAUGACAUGACAGUUCCCUAAUCUAAAAAGAUAUCUAUAGUAUCGGCCUACCGGAGCUCCAAUACUAUAGUCUCAUUUUCGAUCUUAGGAUGUUCAAAUCAACAAUCCACACCGUUAAAAUUGAUUUAAAAUAUUUAGAGUUUUUAGAAAUAAAAUUUUAUAUUUUUCUGACAUAGUUUACUUCAUGAUCAAAUAAUUUCAAAAUUGUCAAUUUUCAAUGAUUACUACUACGAGUCUGGAGUUUAACGGUGUAAAAAAAUCUAAAUUUCUUCAAAUUUUGAUAGAGAAUACUUUAAACUAUCUAGAUUAAAGUUAACAUUCUUGGUCUUGAAUUUAAAAGUCCUAUACUCAAAUUUUAAAGAUUAUUCAAUUUUCACCGUCCAUUUUGAUAUAAUUUAUUUACUAAGUAAACGAUGUUGAAAAAAACUAAAAUUUUAUUACUAAGAAAUUCAUAUACCCUAGAUCAUAUUUAACGGUGUGGAUCGUUAAUUUGAAUACCCUAAGAUCGAAAACAAAAGGGCUUUUUUUGCAUUUAGCCCCCUGACAAAUUUUUAUUUUAAAAAUAGCCCUGUCAAAAUUUAAUUUGCAAAAAUGGCCCUGGGCCUGCCACGCAGGCGCCACGUCAGCGCCACGCGGGCGGGGCCAGGGCGAAUGUAUUAAGUUAAACACGGCGAACCAUUCACCGUGUCUAAACACGGUGAAUGGUUCACCGUGUUUAAACACGGUGAAUACGUAUAUUUUAUAUGUUGAAAAGUGGAAUAGGGAGUAGGGAUGUCAAUAGAUAUGGAUAUCCGAAAUAUUAUCCGAACCCAAACCCGAAUAAAUUUAUAUAUAUAUAUAUAUAUAUAUAUAUAUAUAUAUAUAUAUAUAUAUAUAUAUAUAUAUAUAUAUAUAUAUAUAAAUAAUUUUUAUUUAUUUAAUAUAUAUAAAAUAUUUAACAGCUUUAUAUAAUAUAUAAAAAUAUUUAACAGCUGGAUGAAGAUCUAAGGAACGGUUAAAUAUUUUAUAUACUGUAUAAAUUAAAUAAAAAUAAUUUAUAUAUAUAUAUAUAUAAUUAUAUAUAUAUAUAUAUAUAUAUAUAUUAUAUAUAUAUAUAUAUUAUAUAUAUAUAUAUAUAAUUUAUUCGGGUUUGGGUUCGGAUAAUAUUUCGAAUAUCCAUACCUAUUGACAUCCUUACUCCCUAUUCCUCUUUUCAAUAUAUAAAAUAUACGUAGUAAACACGGUGAACCAUUUACCGUGUCUAAACACGGUGAAUAGUUCACCGUGUUUAACUUGACACAUUGGCUCUGGCCCUGUCUGCGUGGUGCUGACGUGGCGCCUGUGUGGCAGGCGUAGGGCCAUUUUUGCAAAUUAAAUUUUAAGAAAGUUAUUUUUAAAAUAAAAAUUUGCCAGGGGGCUAUAUACAAAAAAAGCCCAAAACAAAACUAUAGUACCGAAACUCUUGUACUAUAGAUAGUAUAGUAGCCUAAUUAUAUAUAUAUAUAGAGAGAGAGAGGGAGAGAGAGAGACUCUAGCUGCUGCUAUGCUAUCGAUAGCACCAAGUAGUUGGUGCUAUCAAGUUUUCUGCCGUUAGAUUAAUCUCUUUGAUUAUUUUUACCUGUUAGAUUAUACUGUUCAACCAACAACUCACUCAACCUUAGGGGGCUCAUAUCAUCCUAACCGCACAUCUUUUAAUCCAAGGGCGAAAAACUUAAUAACACCGAGUCAUUGGUACUAUUAAUAAUAUUCUAGUCAAGUUCUAUAUAUAUAUAUAUAUAUAUAUAUAUAUAUAUAUAUAUAUAUAUAUAUAUAUAUAUAUAUAUANAUUUAACCCUUUGACUAUUUUCACCUGUUAGAUUAUACUAUUCAACCAACAACUCACUCAACCUUAGGGGGCUCACAUCAUCCUAACCAUACAGUUGUUCAUCCAAGGGCGAAAAACUUGAUAGCACAAAAUGCUUGGUGCUAUUGAUAGCAUUCCAGCCUAUAUAUAUAUAUAUAUAUAUAUAUAUAUAUAUAUAUAUAUAUAUAUAUAUAUAUAUAUAUAUAAACCCAAAAUAGAGAACAAAAUAUCGACACGAUUAUAGGUUCCGACUCCCACUUUUUGUACAAAAUCAAAAUGUCUCUACUUUCGAAACUGCCAAAUUCUAGUUCGAAAAAUAUUUAUAAAGUUUGUGGUGCGUGGUAGAAGAAAAAAUAUUCCCGAGCACCAAAAGAAAGGAGUGAGGAGGAGGCAAAAAAUUAAAUAAUUAUGGUAAAAAUUUUAGUGAAUAAUAUAAAAUACAUUAAACAAAAAAACCAUAGAUAAAAAAAUAAAAUAAUUAAGCCUACUGGCUAGAUUUUGGCACAAGAUUUGACCAAUUUUGGACAAAAAGGUCACAAAAUACAUUUGCCAUAGAAGAUAAAGAAGGGUGGAGAGAGAAAGGGAGAAAAAGAAAAGAUUCCAAUUAUAAUAUUCACUACUAGUAGUGGUACUCAUUUUAGAUUAUAUAGAUUGAUGAUGUUCAACAGUAUCGAUAUUCGAUUUGGAGGUUUCAUUAUUGAAAAAAAAUUGAUAGCAACGAAAUUCGUUUGCUACUGAUAGCAUUUCAGCUCAACUCUAUACAUAUAUUAUAUGAAUUCAGCUACUAUUUUUUUAAGAAGAUGGGUGACUUUAUACUCCUAAGUCGUUUUAAAUGAUAAGGAUUUCGAAUCGAUGAUCGAAACUGUUAAGUUGAUCUAGAAUAUUAAAAAUUAAUGUCUAUAAACUAAAUUUCAUGAAAUUUAAAAAGUUUUUACGUAGUGAUCAAAGGAUCACAAAAUCGACAAUUUUUUACGACCUAUACAAGUCGUUUGCUUGUUUAGCAGUAUAGAACAAUCCAAAUAGCUUGAAUUUUUUAUAGAAAAUUUUUUAUAUUAUUUAGAUAACGUUUGAUAAAUCCGAUCAUGAAUUGAAAAAAUCUAACAUUUAUUUUCACAAGGUUAUUUGUUUUUUACCGUUCAUUUUUCGACUCUUCAAUAAAUUUGAUAACGAAUUUUAAAUUUUAUGAAAUUUAAUUUCUAACUCAAAACGUGCUGAAUAUUUGAAUCCAAAAUUAAAUAAACUUAAUUAUACAUGCAGAUGAUUCAAACUAGAUAGAAAUCAGUCGGUUCGAUUCAGUAGUAAAUCUUGUACAUAGUACAUAAAUAUUAAGUUAAUAGAUAAUAGAGAUGAAGAGAAUUUGGGAAUAAUUACAAUGAUAUGAUGUGAUUGAUUUAGGAUUAAAAGAAAAUAAAUGUGUCCUUUUUUAAUGAUGAUUUAUUUAUGAUGAUUUAUAUGAUGGUGAUGUUGAAGACAAUUUAGGGGGAAUUG
RNAcentral lists this long non-coding RNA (17500 nucleotides) under Ananas comosus (pineapple). RNAcentral's name for it is "long non-coding RNA (ACOM_LNC009614)". Lineage: Eukaryota; Viridiplantae; Streptophyta; Magnoliopsida; Poales; Bromeliaceae. The record is from RNAcentral.